RNAcentral lists this ribosomal RNA (1309 nucleotides) under Kocuria rosea. RNAcentral describes it as "bacterial SSU rRNA". It matches the Rfam family "Bacterial small subunit ribosomal RNA", at positions 119 to 1438 of the family's 1533-position model. The record is from RNAcentral. Lineage: Bacteria; Bacillati; Actinomycetota; Actinomycetes; Micrococcales; Micrococcaceae.
GAGUAACCUGCCCUUGACUCUGGGAUAAGCCUGGGAAACUGGGUCUAAUACUGGAUACUACCUCUUACCGCAUGGUGGGUGGUGGAAAGGGUUUUACUGGUUUUGGAUGGGCUCACGGCCUAUCAGCUUGUUGGUGGGGUAAUGGCUCACCAAGGCGACGACGGGUAGCCGGCCUGAGAGGGUGACCGGCCACACUGGGACUGAGACACGGCCCAGACUCCUACGGGAGGCAGCAGUGGGGAAUAUUGCACAAUGGGCGGAAGCCUGAUGCAGCGACGCCGCGUGAGGGAUGACGGCCUUCGGGUUGUAAACCUCUUUCAGUAGGGAAGAAGCGAGAGUGACGGUACCUGCAGAAGAAGCGCCGGCUAACUACGUGCCAGCAGCCGCGGUAAUACGUAGGGCGCAAGCGUUGUCCGGAAUUAUUGGGCGUAAAGAGCUCGUAGGCGGUUUGUCGCGUCUGCUGUGAAAGCCCGGGGCUCAACCCCGGGUCUGCAGUGGGUACGGGCAGACUAGAGUGCAGUAGGGGAGACUGGAAUUCCUGGUGUAGCGGUGAAAUGCGCAGAUAUCAGGAGGAACACCGAUGGCGAAGGCAGGUCUCUGGGCUGUUACUGACGCUGAGGAGCGAAAGCAUGGGGAGCGAACAGGAUUAGAUACCCUGGUAGUCCAUGCCGUAAACGUUGGGCACUAGGUGUGGGGGACAUUCCACGUUUUCCGCGCCGUAGCUAACGCAUUAAGUGCCCCGCCUGGGGAGUACGGCCGCAAGGCUAAAACUCAAAGGAAUUGACGGGGGCCCGCACAAGCGGCGGAGCAUGCGGAUUAAUUCGAUGCAACGCGAAGAACCUUACCAAGGCUUGACAUUCACCGGACCGCCCCAGAGAUGGGGUUUCCCUUCGGGGCUGGUGGACAGGUGGUGCAUGGUUGUCGUCAGCUCGUGUCGUGAGAUGUUGGGUUAAGUCCCGCAACGAGCGCAACCCUCGUUCUAUGUUGCCAGCACGUGAUGGUGGGGACUCAUAGGAGACUGCCGGGGUCAACUCGGAGGAAGGUGGGGAUGACGUCAAAUCAUCAUGCCCCUUAUGUCUUGGGCUUCACGCAUGCUACAAUGGCCGGUACAAAGGGUUGCGAUACUGUGAGGUGGAGCUAAUCCCAAAAAGCCGGUCUCAGUUCGGAUUGAGGUCUGCAACUCGACCUCAUGAAGUCGGAGUCGCUAGUAAUCGCAGAUCAGCAACGCUGCGGUGAAUACGUUCCCGGGCCUUGUACACACCGCCCGUCAAGUCACGAAAGUUGGUAACACCCGAAGCCGGUGGCCUAA